GAGGAUGAUCAGCCACAAUGGGACUGAGACACGGCCCAUACUCCUACGGGAGGCAGCAGUGGGGAAUUUUACGCAAUGGGGGAAACCCUGACGUAGCGACACCGCGUGAGCGAAGAAGCCCCUUGGGGUGUAAAGCUCUGUCAGCUGGAACGAAAAAAAUGACGGUACCAGCAGAGGAAGCAUCGGCUAACUACGUGCCAGCAGCCGCGGUAAGACGUAGGAUGCGAGCGUUGUCCGGAUUUAUUGGGCGUAAAGAGUUCGUAGGUGGUUUGUCAAGUCUGAUGUUAAAGAUCGGGGCUCAACCCUGGGACUGCAUUGGAUACUGGCAGACUUGAGUGUGGUAGAGGCUAGUGGAAUUCCCAGUGUAGCGGUGAAAUGCGUAGAUAUUGGGAAGAACACCGGUGGCGUAGGCGACUAGCUGGGCCAUAACUGACACUGAGGAACGAAAGCCAGGGUAGCGAAUGGGAUUAGAUACCCCAGUAGUCCUGGCCGUAAACGAUGGAUACUAGGCGUAUC
Molecule: ribosomal RNA, 516 nt
Filed under: uncultured bacterium
Lineage: Bacteria
Description: bacterial SSU rRNA
Rfam family: Bacterial small subunit ribosomal RNA
Source: RNAcentral